UUACAGGAUGCACUAGAUGAAUGUAAUCAUUAAUUUGUAGGAAGAGAGAGAAAAUACAUUACUGAGUGAGCAAAAAUCAGUAAGUGAGUAAGAAAGAGGGAUAAUGAAGGAAUUGAGUAAAGGAGGUCUUUUUAAAUGAUCCUGUUCCAAAUCAGCUCCCACAGUUUGGAGAUAAAAGAACCAGUUGCCAUGGCAACGCAAGUGUAAAAGGGAAGGUAUCUGAUAGGCUGUGCAGGGGUGGUUCAUCCUAUGACACACACACACACAUACACAUGUGGCCACAAGUGUACCCAGAUAAGAUUAUUUCAGCCUCUCCUACACAUCUAAGCAAAGCCCUUAAGAAUAUACACCCGAUCUAAUACUUUGUGCAGACUAUAGGGCUCCUGCCUGCCCCAAAUAUGUGAGAAAUGCUUUAACAAUUGUGUUCUGGAAUGGACAACUGUUGUUUCUCCAAAAAAGUCAAACACGGGUUCAAUAAGGUCAACAACACUCCUUUAAUAAUCAAGAGGAAAAAGCUCUUAUGUUUUAUUUCACAUUUCAUAAAUUUCACAUUGUGAAAAAAAUCACUUGUACAAAAUAACGUUAACCGCUGUGGUUGUGACAGAGCGACAACAGAAUAACAUAAUAUAACAUACUAGGACAUCAUACAGAAUAGAACAAUACAGCCCAACAUUGACAGCGUUGACAGACAAAGGCAGACGAUGAUUAAGAGUUUUAUGCCAAGUGCAAGCCUGUGACUCGGCUCUUGAUCUUCCAGUCGGAAAAAGAGGGUCAGUGGGAGAGAAAGAGACAGGGGGAGAGAGGAAAAACAAAACACUUGACAGAUACCAGUUCAAAUGGUGUGCGUUGUUGGGGGACAGGACGGAGGAGGGGGGAUUGUUGACCAUUGCCUGGGAAACGCUACUUGAGACGAGGCAAGAAUGGGCUAUCUGAUUGGCUGGCGGUUUGUGUGCAGUGUACUGGAAAAAAAACAGAGAGGGCUUUCUGUUUAAGCAUAGAUGUGAGAGCUUCAAAGGCAGCAGGGUAAAGCAGCACUUCAUUGAAAAGGGAGUAGGUGGAAAGGAAGAAGGUCUGGGAAGGAAUGUGAAGCUUGACCUCUCUCUUUCUUCUUUCUAUCUUGAUAUCUAUUCUAUAAGAAACCAAUUUCAAACAAUUUUCCACCAUUGCUUUGACAGAGAUCUUCUAUACAGCUAGCAUUAGUUUGAUUUUAAAAAAAAGCAUACAGAACUGCUAAGAUUUCAAUUUUAUCAGUUCACUAUUGCAUAAGCUUAUGCAUACCCUCUUCACACUUAGGUUAUAAAUUGUCCUCACAAUUUUGUCCAAAUUGUUAUACUACAGUUCCUUUUCAUUGCUCUAUUAAGACGAUAUCCUGUGAUACAUACAAACAUAGCGUCUUAUGACCUUUGGAAUGUAGCAUCAUCACUGCCGUGAAAAAAUAUACAGUAUACGUUUAAAGAACUCCAUUAUUCACCAAAUGUAGACAGUUUUGGACAAAAAAAAAACCCUUCAUAACACUUAGGACUGGUAGUACAGAAACCCUGAGGAAAGGCAAAUUUACAGUCCAACGCCAUUCUUUCAACUUACAGAUGUUGGUGGUAAAGACAUUUAACAGCAAUCUAAGGACAGCUUCAAUGUGUCUCUUACCAUGCGUAAGCCUCUGAAUAGGAAAAAAGAGCAAAUAUCUAUGUAGAGGGUGUUAAUAAUAAUUAACACCUGCCACUGUGCUCAGGGACAUCAGUGACAGUUCCAGCUGUUCUGGGAGCAGCUGCUGAUGUCAGAUUUCUCACUCCAUGGCAUGGUGUCCUUAUCGGUCAUAUCAAAUUAGACUGACAAGAAGUUAGAAUGUGUUUGAGUAUUGUUAAACUACAAAGCAGAGUCAGCAAGUGGCCACUCUGACAUUCAGUCAGCUAAGGCCAAGGUUUUAACCAAACAUAGUAGUUCAAUAGGUUCAUCAUUGGAAUUAUUGUAGCUUGGAACAUUUUUUUUUGUUCACAAGUGUAGUUCGGUUUUCAAAAUAAUCCAAUCAGACAUAUUGCUUCUUUAGCAAAUUUACCUUCUUUUAUAGGUUUUGGUGUAGCUGUAUACUGCUAGCAUAAACCGUGAAUUGAACUUUUUUUUUUGCACUAGAUCACAGUAUGAAUUCUUAACCCCCAGCCCAUCCCCCACGGGUUCCCAAACCAACCGCUCCAUUGUAUCCUGCGUAAUCUGAUCCUACAACGUCAUUCCUCCCAUUCUUAUCUGGGUGAUGACCUAAGACUCCAAGCCUGCCUGCUUUCAGGUCAGUCAAACUAGAGGUCCAGGAUUCUCUGACCCCUCGAAAUUCAGCUGCGCUACGGUGUGACAGACAUGUGCAAAAGAGCAGUUCUUAUGUAACUCAAAGCAGUAUGGGCCAUGCGUAGCACAAAACAUCCGCCAAAUUCUGUACAGCUGUAUAUGCUGGAUAUGUAUGCAAGCAUUUUUUUGAUCAAUAAAUACAACAAAUAAACAUACACAGUUCAAAUUAACAGCAAAACUAAAACAUUUGUAAAAUAAAGCUCAUAAAUUAAGACUAUGUAUAGACACUGUGUUCUUUUCAGUUCAGGUUGUUCUUUGUUGUUUCCAUGGAGACAUUUCCUCUCCAGCAGACAGAACGACUCUCACCUUUCUCUCUCUCUCUGUGUCAUUCUGCCUUUCACAUUUAUAUUGAGACUGUAUGUGCGAGAACAGAACCACUCAGCACAAAGUUAAGCAGCCUAACUUUAUACCAAUAGGUUCUCUUGUCUAGAAGUCAUUAGGAGGUGUUGACAAAAUGACAGCGUCUCUUCUUAGAAAAAGCCAGUUGCUUUCUGUAAUGCUCGUCAUCCAUCCGGAGCAAGUUCUCGGUGGACAUGCUUGUUGUUGUUUUUUUGGAAGAAGAAUGAAUAAUAUAACAUGGUCAACUGUAUUUUCACUCAGGGAAACAUGCUGGGACAUGCUAGUCUUUUCCACAUACAAACACAUACACAAACACACAUCUGGUGUGUGGGUCACCUCAGGAUGCCUUCUCACAGCAAGUUUUACACCAGCUUGAGGAGGUCUGUUUGUCAGGAAGUGACCAGAGUCAGACAUGGGAGACAAACAACUUGUCUCGCCUUCUUGUGAUAAUGAAGCCUUUCUAUUGUCUCUGCCUUACAAUUCUGAAGAAGAAAUGCACUAUAUGAAAAAGUAGAGCACAGGCACAGUGAAAUCUAAAAAAAAAAAAUAUUAAAGAGGCGUCUUCAUGCUUUCAUUUGGAAAUCAGUCAUCCAAAUAUUGUAACCCUGCCUCCCUCUUGUUCAGUUCCACUGGGUGAAGCUCUUCUUGCAAGAUGCACAGAGAAGUAGUUUAGUUUACACACCAUUUGCAUCUCUGAACAAAAUAGUUGGUAUGCGCCAACACACAGAUAUGACAGCAAAACGUGCCAGGGGCUAAUUGGCCUCAUUUGGUUGUCAAGGCAAACAACGUCCCAAGACUUUGACAAUGGAAAGUUUAUGCAAAGUUUUCCCAACACAGAACGUCUUUUAAAGCGCAAAAAUCCAAAACAAAACAGUGAAAGCUUCGCUGCUGGAUAUCUUCAAUAUUAAAGAUGGAAGAAGAAGCCUUUUGAUGAAAUUGCACAGAAAGCAGGAAAUCGUCACAGCUGGAAUCCAGCACAUCACACAGGAAUUCUGUAAAGAAAGCAGACAACACAUGAUAUUUUAAAUCAUUUCAUUUUGAAGUUGCUUUUCCCAUUAAGGCAUAAAAUCCCACUGUCCCAAACAGAACAAACCACAUUUUUGCUAAAUGGACUCAAACAAUGAAGAGCAGGCAUUUUCCCAAAACACUGGGACACACUGCAGGAAAAAAUAAAUAAAGAUAAAGUCCAGAUGCUCAGUCCUGAGCCUGGCCAUUUGUUCUCCUACUUUUCCUGUCAUCCUCAAGGAAAAACAGUUUGAGAAGGACAGGUCAUGUGCUCACACCUGUUUGAAUGUCAUGCAAGGGCAAUACAAACCCUAAAAUAUAGCCAUGUGACCUCAGUAGAACCUGGAAUAUUCUUACUUUGACAUCACCUGGCUAUGCAACUGAUCUACAAUAAUCAUGGUUUCUGUAAGAGCAGCGGUGGAAAGUGACAAACUACAUAUACACUUGUUACAGUACUUAAGUACAUCCAUCCAUCCAUCUUCAACCGCUUACUCCUUUUCAGGGUCACGGGGAACCUGGAGCCUAUCCCAGGAAGCAUCAGUCACAAGGCAGGGUACACCCUGGACAGGGUGCCAGUCCAUUGCAGGGCACACUCACACACCCAUUCAUACACUACGGACACUUUAGACACACCAAUCAGCCUACCAUGCAUGUCUUUGGACUGGGGGAGGAAACCACCGCAGCAUGAGGAGAACAUGCAAACACACAUGGCCCCGGCGGGAAUCGAACCCCAGACCCUGGAGGUGUGAGGCGAACAUGCUUAUCACAGAAACACUCAAAAGUCGAAAGAGAAUUUGAAUUAAGCUGCAUGACUUGUCUGGAAGCUAGACAAAUGUUAUUGUGUUAAGCAUUAAUUAUAGGCUGGCAUGAAAUAUUUAAGAUAAUGUGCAAGGGGAAUAUGUGCUAGAUGGCUAACUAUGUAGCUAGAACCAUGUAUGAAUUAACAUGAGCUAGUUAGCUAAACAAACCAAGCAUGCUAGUGAACCUCCAUCAGCUAGCCAGCUAAUGUUCCCUUUUUUAUAUACUGCUGACAAUCAACGUGGUGUUCAUUUCAGCAUAAUGCAUAACAAGAACACCAAUUCUUUUACUCAAGUGAAUUACUAUUGCAUGUAAUCACGCCUGUGUGUUUUGCACUCUUUCCAUCGCUGUGAAAGAGGAACUUAAAGGUCCUAAUAGGAAGCUAUCAACCACCAAGUCCAAGUUUUGAGAACUGCAGAAACAAUAGCAAUAAAAACAAUUUAUCAAGACAUGAACUGAUAAGAAGGAGCAACAGAGAUAGCUGACUGGUUCAUGAACUCAACUUCACAGCGUGAGGUGUCUUGCACAUAUGCCAAUGAGAACUGGUCAGUUUUGCACACUGGCUAUAGGAUAAUCUCUGAAGAAAAUAGAAGAUGCAGAGCUGAUGCAUUGUGACAGCUGUGGUGUUUGUGUGCUUUUGCGUGGGUGUGAGGAAUUAACCAAUAGGCACUUUUUUUUUUGCAGCAGGAAGGAUGCCUGUAGCCAUCUUUGUCCCUUGAUCUAGGGUUGAGAAAAAUGCACAAGAAAAGGCAAAGGAGAUCUUUGUUUACUCUUCUUAUUCUAAUCCUCCCCCUCUCAACUCAUCCUCCCUUCCUCCGUUCUCUUCCCCCCACCCACUCUUUUGGCCAGUGGUGAACCAUUUUAUUGUUGAGGGGUUGGGGGGCAGCUGCUAAGAACACGUCAUGGUAAUUGAAAUGCAUAGGAAUGUCCCAAUGAAGCAACGAAAGGACCUCCACUUUGAAAUGAACUGCCCUGUCGAGGUGGGCGGCAUUCCAGUUACAGAUACACACUAACAGACUGGGUCACUGAGUAAUGAUGGAUUGAAUGCUCAACAUCAGGGGGUCAGGAAUGAAAUAAACACACUUGGAGGUCUCACGCCUUCUUCUUCCCCUGUUUUUAAAAGAUUUGACUCACUCCUACUCCCUUUUUCCUGUUCUCUAGCCAGUGUGUAGGGGUGUAAUAAGAGUUUGUUUCGUCUACUGGACUGCAACUGCUUAGACAUUCAAAUCUGCUUCAGUGUAUGACUUGUUACAGCCAUGUGGAAAUAAUACAAAUGCAAAGACAUAAUACAAAUUUAAAAUGCUCUGUUGUUAUACAAGUAUGGUUUUAUGGUCUGAAUAAUGAAUGUCUUCUGCUUUUAUCUGACUUCAGUCAAUUGAAAAACAUGAGACACUCAUGAGUUUCAGUUACAGUCCAUAUGCUCCCAAGAACAACUCCAUUGCUCAGACAUUGAGGAAGUGAAACUCAUUGAGAAUGUUUUGUCACGUCUUGCAUGUUCCCUUGAAUCCUUCUUUCUUCCUCUUUUUUUCUCCUGCAGAUGAACCUGGCACAAGUUUUUGUUAUAGAUCAUAUGAUCAGUUAUAGAUUAGUCAAGACCAACAUGAGAAUGCACACUACCUUCACACUCCCCCAAAAUGUUUUAAUUAGUAUAGAUGUUCUUAUACUUCCCUCUUGCUCCAUUGCCUUUGUUUAAUAAACUCUCCAGAAUUUUCUUUUCUCUAAAGCAGAUUAACCACUGCAUUACACCUCAUAUAGCAUGCCACAUAUUAAGAUUUUGAUAAGCUAGCUCGAUGUAUCUGUUUCUCUGUUGUCCUUACCCUCCUUCCUUUCUUAUUCUCACCAACACUUCCCUCCUCUCUCCACCCUCAUACAAAUUUGUCCCUCAGGGACACUAAAAGUCUUCUAUUCUGUUUCAAUUACCGUUGGUGCUCAGCCCCAUGCUGCAAACUCAUAAUUCAUCCCGUCAUCACUGGUGACAUCUCCAAAACACACACACACACAAACACACACACACACACACACACACAUAUAUAGAUCUUAUUCAAUCUAAAUUUAAUAAACUGUUCCAUCAUAUAAGACAAAAGAUGUUCCUGCUCUGUCUCAGAAAAGAUAAAAGGCUGAAUCUUGAGCUCUAGGACUGAAAAUGUAUGCUGGAAGCCUGCACCAUUUUUACGGUCCCAUACGUAAGCAUUCAGUUCAACCAUACAACAUUGUCGUGUGUGUUGUUUUAAUCAUAUAUGUGCAUUCCUAACAUCUAACUGACCCAUGGACACUAACUAUAGUGUGCAGCAUCCUCUAAAGAAAGAACCACAGUAAAUUAUAGCUAUACAAGAUAUGUAGCUAUGCUAUCAUCUCCUUAAACAGCAAUAUGCUUGGAUUAUGUUGAUGCUACACUCCUAAAUUGACUCCAUUGUGUGCAGAAUAAAAAAAACAAAAAAACAAAAGUAUGCCAAGAAGAAUAUACAAAUGACCACAUCAAAGCAGAGGACAGCUGGCUGAAAUCCAACCAAGAGACCCCUUAGAGAAAUCUAAUUACUCUAUUAAUACUGAAUUGGUUCUAAUUUAAUAAAGAUU
Long non-coding RNA from Ictalurus punctatus (channel catfish), 7050 nucleotides. Lineage: Eukaryota; Metazoa; Chordata; Actinopteri; Siluriformes; Ictaluridae. The record is from Ensembl.